This is a long non-coding RNA of Entelurus aequoreus (snake pipefish), 403 nucleotides long. RefSeq lists it as uncharacterized. The record is from RefSeq and is a predicted model, not a curated record. The transcript has 3 exons. Lineage: Eukaryota; Metazoa; Chordata; Actinopteri; Syngnathiformes; Syngnathidae.
UUUGCUCCCUCUCUCUCUCUCUCUGUCUCUCUUCUUAUCUACGCUUCUCCUUCCAUCAUCUCCCUCAUUCUCAGCUAUCAUCUGCUGCUGCUGCUGCGUCUGCCUUAGCCUGCAUGAUGAUGAUGAUGAUGAUGAUGAUGCUAUUUCCUGCUCCUCCUGCUGGAUUCUGGGUCAUGGAUCCCCUAAGGACAAAAUGUCUCUGAUGGAGGCCACCGUGGGUCCAGAUCCCAAGUGGUUGUAGUAAGGCCCUUCAUCUUUCUCCAGGAUUUGUUCUAAGGUGAAAAAAAGGCCAAGGACCCCCAAUCUGAUGGAGCGAUGGAGCAGGAUCCCCUAAAUACAUAUAUACACUAUUCAAAUAACACACAGGUGUUAUUUGUGUAUAUAUAUAUAUAUAUAUGUGUGU